UUGAUCACAGUUGAAAGAUUGAUACUAUAGAUAAAGGCCUGCUGGCGAAGCCAUUCAUAAUAUGCAGCAGAAGAAUAGUAAAAGUUUCACCACUCAUCAAAAGUCAGGGAAACAGUUCUCCAGGCACCAUGGGGAGGCUCAUGAAGGAACGGUGUUCAAUCCAUACAAAGCGUUCCAACAUUGGACACACUUACCUGACUUUAGAGAGGGCUUGGUACAUACGCGGUGACUCCACCUCUUACACACUUCACACUCAACCCAAACUAUCUUUCGAGACUUUCCAGGAGUAUUGUAAUCACCACAUAUGCAACAAAUGACUUCAUCGUCAGACUCCUCAACGAAGCCCAUGGAUUCGUCAGAGUCAGAGUCAUUUUGUCAUCACCAGAAUCUGUGUCCAUGUCACUGUCACUGUCAUCCGAGUCCGUCAAGUCUAUGACUACAGGAGCAACCUCCUCAUCCUGGACUCCGUCGAGUUUCCACAGUUUUUCUUCGACCUCUCUUAUCACGUGACUCUCCACCUUACGCCACUUCUCAACCCCAUAAGUUGAUCUAGCCUGAAUAAAGAGUUCCUUCACUUUCUCUUUCUUAAAUGUGGCAUUGCUCCUGGCGACGAAACUUUUUAAUUCAGCCCAGACCAACUCAAUAGGAUUAAGCUCACAAUGAUAGGGCGAGGCUUAUGCUGCUUCACUAAUGUGACCAAUUCAGCCUUGAUCAUUCGCGGAUUGUAAUGGAUACCCUUUCUAUCAAGCCAAGACUGGAUCUCAGCCUUCGGUGCCGAGGAAGUUGGACACCUAGACUCAGGAUCCAGAUGACUGUGAUAGGAAGCAUUAUCCAUCACGAUGACUGAAUUGGCUGGUAGGUUAGGGAGCAACUGCUCAGUGAACCACUUCGUGAAGUUUUCCGAGUUUAUCUCAUCGUGAUAAUCCUGGUUGCCUGUUUUCGACUCGAAAAUGAGAGCAGAUCCCGGGAUCAUGCCCACAGCCGAAGAACCUGCAUCCACAAUUAUCAGACGAGAACCUUUCCCAGAUGGGACCAAAACGCCCAUGACCUCCACGAUGUGACUCAAAGGCAGAGGUAGAUGUCCUUGGACAGUCCACCCAAUCACCCCUCGCUACAUGAUUGGUGUUCAACCAAGUCUCAUCCAAAUACACAAUAGGACGACCCUCCUCUCUAAACUUCCUAAUGGACCUCAGAGAGCAUGUGAAUCUUCAUCUUUGCAUGAUAGCAAAGUGCUUACUUGAACCCAAGAUCCUUCACGAGUCUCCCCAGUGGUGUCUUAGUGAUCCUGACUCCCCUUUCUACUAGAACAUCUGACAGUCGACGAAGGGAAACGUACUGGUCCUGCAACUGCAUAUCAUGAAUGGUCCUCUUCUUCAAGUCUUCAUCGAAGUCAUCAAGCUUUCUACUGGGACCACGUUUCUUCUUUGGAGCUAGAACUUGCAUGUCUUCCACCACCAUUUCAACUGGAUCAGGGUCCACUUUCCUCUUCAAUGUUUUCUCAGAUAUUCCUAAAUAUGUAAAAAUAGAUUUCAGUAAUCAUGGUAGAUAUAUAUUUAUUAGUACCGUGUACCAAUAUACAGUUGAUCUAUAUAGAUGCAAAAUAAUUUGCAAAAUUAUAAGUACUUUACUUUAAUGUUAGAUAUUUUUAUUACAAAAAUAAAUUUGUCUAUUCGAAACAAAAUCAUUGUUACCUGUAGCAACUGAUAAUCUCUUGAGAGGAUUUUGCAGGUAUUUUACCCUUCCCUCCUGACUUUCUAUGGAGAACUGUUUAUAAAUCUUUGUUAAAAGGUCUACAACCUGGAGAAGACAUUUGUUAUUAAUUUUAUGCAACUGUUUAAUCUCAUAUAUAGCUGAAACAUUUGCAAGACAAGUACAUCUGAUCAAGUAUAACUCAUUAAACUGAAAAUUCCGUUGACUUAUGGAAUAAAUGAAUGUCAAUCAAUACAAAAAUCUAAUUUAAAAUCAAUAUUUUAAGGUCACUGUAAAUGUAGGGCUUAUUCCAUAUGCAUUUCAUCAAUGGUUAUUUUAAUAAUUAAUCAUACAAUUGCUGAAAAUCAAAAUAUAUGUAACUAUAAGUAAUAAUAAUAUUGAGGAAUCAUUCUUUUGAUAAUAUAGGGUGAUCAUAAUACAGUCAGGCAUGAACAAAUCUAUCAUCUAAGCCCUUAAGGUAUUUCAUUUUUUAGGACUAUCUUUUUCAUUUUACUUAAGUGUAUAUGAUAUAUUUAUAGUUAUCACAUGUUUAGCUCAAUAUACGGUGGAUAUCACUCAUGUAUUUUUUUUUUUAUUCCACUGUGUGUUCUUACACCAUGUGACGUCAUAAAUAAACAUUACGUAGCUUCAGGCGGAUGAUUGACAUAGAAUAAAAUUUUUACAAAAACAUUUAUUUGAAGAGUGUAGAGUUAUGGAUGUGGCGCAAUUAAUGUUGUUUCAUUUUUUCAUAAAUUGAUACAAAUAUGUUAGAAAAUGAUUUGCUUGUUUAUUAUUCAACAAUGAUUUUUUUUUCAUGCAUAAAUUUGCGUCUUAUAAUAAAUGUGUUGUGCGGCUCACAAUGAAAAUGUUAACAGAAAAUAUUAGGGUUUAACAAAAGAUGUGUUAAAACAUGAUAAAAAGAAUCUGUCAUAUGAUUUGUGAUGGUAUAUGAUUUUUCUCCAACUCGUUGUAAGGCGAGGGGAUAGAAAACACAACUCUUUGGAUAUAAUCAUAUACCAUUGCAAAUUAUGAGAGAUCCUAUAUAUGACAAAUUAUUGAAUUGUCAUUUCAUUCUUCAGGUGACCAUUAAUGCAAUUGAGCCUUUUGAAUUUACAUUCUAUUAAUAUUAAAUACAGAGGUAAACAACAUAUAGGAGUGUUUGUCCAUUCACAACUUUACAUUGAUGAAAAAAUAUGUUUGUAAUCAAGUGGAGUUGUGAAUAGCUCAUAUUGUUUUAUCAUCAGACAUCAAAACAAAUAUUAAUUUUGUCCAUUCACAACUUUACAUACAUUUAAAAUCUUAUUGUUUAAUAAAUUAUUAAGUUGUGAAUAGCUCAUAUUGUUUAUUAUCAAACAUCUAAGUACAUGUUAAAUAAAUAUACUUUGUCCAUUC
Magallana angulata is the source of this 3081-nucleotide long non-coding RNA. RefSeq lists it as uncharacterized. NCBI's taxonomy places the organism in Eukaryota, Metazoa, Mollusca, Bivalvia, Ostreida, Ostreidae. The transcript is spliced from 3 exons. The record is from RefSeq and is a predicted model, not a curated record.